UUUUCUUUCUUUCUUUCUUCUUUUUUUCUUUCUUUCUCUUUCUUUCUUUCUUUCUUUCUCUCUCUCUCUCUCUCUCUCUCUCUUUCUUUCUUUCUAUUUAUUUAUUCACGAGAGAGAGAAAAAGAGAGAGAGAGAAAGAGAGAGGCAGAGACCCAGGCAGAGGGAGAAGCAGGCUCCAUGCAGGGAACCCUACAUGGGACUCGAUCCAGGGUCUCCAGGAUCAGGCCGUAAGCUUAAGGCGGCGCUAAACCACUGAGCCACCCGGGCUGCCCUACGGUAGUUUCUAAAGGAGGAAAAGCAUGGGUGGAAAUAAGUAGCCAGAUGUGAGAGAUAUCCAAUAAAUGACUUACCAAGAAUAGUCUUUCAAUAGUAUUUACUGAAUGAAUGAAGAACUUGAUUUGUCAUAGAAGGAAAGAGUGGCUUCUAAGAAUUUAGGACUUGAAGUUGCAUAGAUAUGAGUUUAAAUCCCCCCCCCCCCAAGUUCCUCUGUUUGCUAGCUGUAUGGCUGUGGGCAAAUUAUUUAAUCUCUCCAAGUCUCAAUUUCCUUAGCUGGAGAUAAGGGCAAAACCCACCUCAUAGGGUUUUUUCAAGGAUUAAAUGAGGUAAUAGGUGUAAAGUGAACAGUAUGGGGUCUGGCACAAACUAAGUGCUAUUUACAUUAUUAUAAACAUUUAAUGCUAUUGUUUAAAGAGUGACAAAUGGAUUCUCCUAACAGUUGGAAAUAUCUCCCACUCAAAUAGAAAUAAAUAAAAACAUUUAUUUCAAUUAUAUUCCUUCUCAUUUUUCACGGUAUGUGAGGAUACAAGGAGAAAACGCCUACAGUCCACAGAAAGUGGAUCAAGUGUAACUAGUGAGUUUGCUCUGCUGGGAUAGAAGGGAUCACUGUAGAACACAGCAAACAGAAGUGCCCGAGUCUGUCUGUCGCCCGUCUCUCUCUCUCAUUGUCCAUGUUGCUUUAAACAAAAAGGGUCGUGUAGAGUCAUUUCAAUUAUGGUAUUGCCAGAGAGCAGUGGAUAACUAUUUCUUGUGCCAGAAACUUUCACUUGUUUUUUUAAAGGAAGGGGAGAAAGCGGGAGAUGCUCAGGGGAGAAGUUCUGGUCGCCCAUGGACCCUGCUGCCUGAUUGAAUACAGGGAACAUUCAUUAAAACAUGGAUGGUUUUCUAACCACCUUUGAGGUCCUCAAUAGACAAUAUCUACUUUAGUAACCUUAUGUUCUAUACCAGUGCUUAGUUAUUUUGAGAUACGAGUGGAAAGGGUAAUUUUAUUUUCAAGGCCACACAGCAAUUUGCUAAUAUGACCCAUAACUAUCUAAUGUUCCAUAAUAAUAUGAAAUUUUCUAUUUUUCUUAUUUACAAAGAGAUACAUCUUUUAAUGGGGCAAGGUAGAUUUUGAAUGCAAUCCUUGAUUGCUUGUGGACUAAUAUUAACUUAAAAUAAUUCAAGAAGAUGGUAUCCUAAUCUUCCCUAGUUUUGAUUUUCUCUAUUGUUCUCUCUAUAUAUAAAUCCAUAAAUUUUUUGUAUAGAUAGAUCCAUUUAGUGUUUGUCUAGGAUAUCAAAAGCCCAGAGUUUAAUCUUGCUGUGCCUUUCAUAGAUGUGUUUGAUAGUGAUUGUAAUGUUUAGGUGAUAAACUAUGAGAACAUGGACUGGGCCUUUUACAUAUUUUAUGUACUCCUCUCUUUUCUCCCCAAGGUCAAUUAUAGUUCAGAACAUGUAAUAGAUGCUCAACAAACCCUCACUGAUGGGUUUAGUGUUUAUGAGAACUCUACUGUAGAAUAUCAUGGGAAGGAAGUUUGAUAGAUGUAUAAAGAAGAAAUUGUCAAAUAUCCCACUCAUGUAUCUAUUGCUUUCUUUUUAUGAUGACUGGAAUAAAUCCAUCAGCUUUUCUAUGUAAUGUUUUGAUACUCCUACUUGUAAGAUAAGAUAUUAGAAAGUGAUUGUCUCUAAUAUUAAGAGAACUUGGGAUGUAUGGUGGUAUCUCACAAUGCUCAUUUCCUUGGGAAUGAUCAAAGACAUUGGGUUACUCUUAAUGCUUUACUGAUCAGUAACAAAAUCUACCGAAAGCUAGGUGUUAGGAAAAGAAGUAUUUAUACCAACUCAACUUUAAAGGAAAACAUUUUUAAUUCCAAUAUUUCAAAAUCCUUCUCCAUUUAACUUGUGACAACUACACCUUUUUAUCCUUUCGUCUUUUUUUUUUAAGAUUUUAUUUAAUUAUUAGAGAGACAGAGAGAGAGAAAGAGGCAGAGACACAGGCAGAGGGAGAAGCAGGCUCCAUGCAGGGAGCCUGAUGUGGGACUCAGAUCCUGGGUCUCCAGGAUCAUGCUCUGGGCUGAAGGUGGCGCUAAACCGUUGAGCCAUCUGGGCUGCCCUAUCCUUUCUUUUUAAAGGAAAAACAGUAAACUGGACAUAUGGUAAUUCUUACAGAUGUUCUACAUGGUACAAGACUGACCAUUCAUUCAUUCAUUACUUCGAUGUUCAUGAAGCAACCCUUGCUCUGUGCCACACAAAAACUGUUCUGUAUUUGAUAAGUUAAUCCCCUCUUGGGGGAGAUAUUAGAAUAAGCCUCUCAGGAUUUUAUGGUACUGAUGCUGUAGGGGUCCUAAUAACAAAGACCCAUUGCAUCUCCAUGAGACGGCAAUAUAUAUUCUGCUCUGGGCUGUCAAGGAAAGCUCAGGAGUAGGCUGGCACAGUGGUAUUUUCUAGCCAGAAGAAACAUCAUGAGCAGGGCUUGGUGGAAUUAGCCUAUGGCUUGGUAAGGAAUUCAUAAUUUUGCUAAAGGUAGUGAGGUUUAAUUUAUUUUGUCAUAAAAUA
RNAcentral lists this long non-coding RNA (2808 nucleotides) under Canis lupus familiaris (dog). Its description in RNAcentral is "lncRNA (ENSCAFG00000050733.1)". Lineage: Eukaryota; Metazoa; Chordata; Mammalia; Carnivora; Canidae. The record is from RNAcentral.